Molecule: ribosomal RNA, 2231 nt
Filed under: Triticum aestivum (bread wheat)
Lineage: Eukaryota; Viridiplantae; Streptophyta; Magnoliopsida; Poales; Poaceae
Description: partial small subunit ribosomal RNA
Source: RNAcentral
GAUGCCACACCCUAUCCCAGCCGCAGCCGCCGCCGCCGUCGCCGCCGCCGCCGCUGCAACCGCCGCCUUCGAUUCCGUGAAAUUGGAGGGGAAGACAAUUGGAUCUGUCUGCCGCAGGAGGAGUGGGGAGAAAUAGAAUGAAGGCGCGACAGUUCCUGAAUGUUGUGAUGGAGAGGUAUGGCACUGGCGGUGCCGGUGGCAGCUUGUAUACGGUCAGUCGCAUCAACGCCAAGGAACACCUCUUCUACCGAUCCACGGCCGAAGCACAGGCAGCAGAAAAAUCAAGGUUCGAUAUGGAGUGCCCAUCAUCAGCCGUUGUGCCACCAUGGAUGGAGACCAUCUCGCGGAUGCCUCCGUCCAAGCUCAGAUUCGAGCGGUCCACCUCAGACAACAAAAGACUGGAUUUCCUGCCCUUCCAUGAACGAGGCAGCGGUGCUGCGAGCAAGAUCCUCUGCGUGGACGCCGCUGGCCACACCGCCCUAUACGACAUGGACGCCGGUUCGGUCCAGCCAAUUCCAUGCCUCAACAGUCCCAAGGGGAGCAGGCCCAUCAGCUUCUCCACCACCAAUCCCGAAGCCUCUGACCGUGAACGUGCUGAUGCCUUCUACGUUAUGGGAAGGUUCCCUUCCAGCUAUGACCCCUACAACUUCGAGGUACUCAUGUACAGUAACCCUUCUAAUGGCAGGACGAUGAAAGGCUGGAAUUGGCUCAAGCUACCAACACCACCUGCCUAUGCUGACAAUUGCAUUGUCAAUUCCCAUGCGCUGCUUGAAAUUGAAGGUGACUCAAUUCUUGUUGUCUCCUCCGGAGAAGAAAGCCUUGGCACCUACUGCUUCAACACAGCCAGUCGCAAGUGGUUUAAGGCUGGCUCCUGGACACUGCCAUUCCUCAGUCGUGCUGUGCAUGUACCAGAGCUGGACAACCUCUUAUUUGGCAUUGCCAGCGAUGCACCCAACCACUUUUGUGCAAUGGGUAUCUCCCGUCUUCUCUCGAAGAGGUGUCCACCUUUAGUGUACAGUUGGCCACACCUUGAUCUGCCCGAGGACUGGAUAAUGCAAGAUUGCAGCUUUGUGUACUUGGGAAAUGGGAGGUUUUGCAUCACCAAAGUCUUUGAGUUUGGUCUGGACGAAGACACUGGCAACACGACUGAGAUGGGUGCUGUGAUGUCUGGCGUGGAGGUAGUGCAUCACAAGAAGUCUGGACUCAUCAUGGUCAACCAUAGGUCCAAAUUCUACAGGUUCUUCAGGGAUGACAUCCAAUGUGUCUUGUAAGGUAACUUGGUGAAAGGGGAGCAACACGGGUUUUUCCAGGAGGAUUGGAAUUGUCUGUCUUCCCCUUUCCAUCAGUAUCUAGUAGCUACAACUUCUGCUAUGUUAGUUUUUGGGCAGUAGUGCUCAUUUCCUUCAGUAUGUUGUAUCACUAUAUUUGCUGCCGUUGCUGUAUACAUAGCUUCUUAGGUGCUUUUAUUUUAUUAUUAGAUGGACUAGAAUCUUGAUGAAAUUAUGAUAUGGUUUAUAACUGGUAAAAGCCUGAAUGGUUUGAAAAGUUGGAGCGUUCAUAUGAUGUUUAGUGAUCAUGCACAUUAUCGGAUGGAAAUGCCAUUUUUUUUUGAUGCAGCAAUCCUGUAUCUUACACUCCUCCCCUCCCUUAUAACCCCUCGGCACCACCAUGAUCGCAUCGCUUAUGAUCCGCCGCUACUGGGUCGUCGUUCUCUGCAAACGUGUGCAGUUCUCCGUGCACCAUGCACUGCUGCCGACCGCUGCCUUCACCACCUCCGGUGGAUGCCGUUGUGCUCGGCUCAAAGGAAGUCCACAUACCCCCCGGGGCUGCACAAACCGUCAACUCCACCUCCUGAAGUCUAAAACCACUUUCUUAAUGCCCUAACCUUUCCAAUAGCAUUUAAAUGACCCCUAAACCGGAUUAGAGCUGUUUUUAGCAGGCUGUUUUUCCACUCUGGCCUGGGUGUCGCUAGUAGCCGAGCAAAUGACCCCCUCGAACCCCGCUUUGGCUUCUCCAUCUAUGACGACGAGACAGCGGGUGGAUGCGAUGAUCGCCGCCUGAUCAGAGUACACACGACAACGCGCAGUUUAGGCGAUCACUCCCAAUGUUAAGGCGUCGGUAAAAUUUUGAUUUUUGGGAAGAUUGCGGCUGUUUGGUGCUGCGGUUAGGGCAGCGGACAUAGGCGUUUGGGGCCGGCUAACUAGGGUUUGAAAUAUACGCCAAGUUCUGAU